This 464-nucleotide ribosomal RNA is filed under the name Streptococcus parasanguinis. RNAcentral describes it as "bacterial SSU rRNA". It matches the Rfam family "Bacterial small subunit ribosomal RNA", at positions 28 to 474 of the family's 1533-position model. Lineage: Bacteria; Bacillati; Bacillota; Bacilli; Lactobacillales; Streptococcaceae. The record is from RNAcentral.
GAUGAACGCUGGCGGCGUGCCUAAUACAUGCAAGUAGAACGCUGAAGCUUGGUGCUUGCACCGAGCGGAUGAGUUGCGAACGGGUGAGUAACGCGUAGGUAACCUGCCUCUUAGCGGGGGAUAACUAUUGGAAACGAUAGCUAAUACCGCAUAAAAGUCGACAUUGCAUGAUGUUGACUUGAAAGGUGCAAAUGCAUCACUAAGAGAUGGACCUGCGUUGUAUUAGCUAGUUGGUGAGGUAACGGCUCACCAAGGCGACGAUACAUAGCCGACCUGAGAGGGUGAUCGGCCACACUGGGACUGAGACACGGCCCAGACUCCUACGGGAGGCAGCAGUAGGGAAUCUUCGGCGAUGGGGGCAACCCUGACCGAGCAACGCCGCGUGAGUGAAGAAGGUUUUCGGAUCGUAAAGCUCUGUUGUAAGAGAAGAACGAGUGUGAGAGUGGAAAGUUCACACUGUGACG